GCAAACCCCUCCGUGAUGGGGAUAACCUUCUCCAGCCAGACGUCCUCCGCAGUGAUGGCCAUCCGCCGGUGGGUGUACACGUAGAUCGCGUGCCGCCCGCCGCGCUCCACCAGGCCCAGCAGUCGGCUCUCCACGCUCUGCCCCACAGCCACGGCUCCCUGCACGGCGUGCGGUGUGGGUCAAGGAACGGCAAACCGAGAUGGGAGUCGAGGGGGUCAGAAGGGGGAGAGAGAAAGAGGGAGCUCCGCAUCCCUCCCCUGGACGCGCACAGGGCAAAGGAUAUGAUUCGACACGUCGCCCCAUCGAGAAGCGUCUCCUGGAUGGCCACCGAUUGGUCCAUCCUCCGUGCCCGCGGGGUGGGGGUCAGCGAGCAGCUCGGGGGGACCGGGAUGGGGGUCGGGAUGGGGGUCGGGACCGCGAUGCGGCCGCGCUCGGUGCCGCCGUUGCUGGGAGCCGCCGCCGCCGCCGCCGCCGCCGCCGCCCUGUCGCCCCUCUCCCCGCCCCGCACUCCCGGCCUGCCGCAGGGCUCCGUUAACCCUUCGCUCGGGAACGGCUCCGGCCGCGGGGAUGGGGCUGCGCCGGUGCGGCCCCGGGGGCUGUCCGGACUUCGGCCGCCGUUGCCGGAACCGCCGCCCUCCGCCCGGACAGAGGCUCGCAAAGCGCCAGGAAGCGACAGAGCAUCAUUUCCAGCUCCGCUGGACGGGACCGGGAAGGAUUUUUAAACGGGAUGCUGCUGAGUUAAUGGGGCGGAGAGCCGGGAGAGCAGCGGGAAGGGCUGAGCAGAAGCGGAGUACGGUCGGGGGGGGCACGGAGCGUUCCCGAGCUGAGGGUACCGCGUGUACAGAGCCGGGCCUGCGGCAAUGCAGAGCCGCUGACUUCCUACUGCCAUCAGGAGGGGCUCUUUUUGCGGUAGGACCUGGAAUGUUUUGUUAAAUGCCGUGACCCAGCUGACUUCCGAGCUUUAAUCAUGCAAAUAACUGCUGCGGAGGGUGUGAGCAGGUGCUGGGAAAUGUCAGCAGGCGCUGACGUGCCGAACAGGGGAGCUCGGUGUGAGUCAGCCCUUUCUGCUGCUGUAGAAGUAACGGCAAAGUCGAGCAGAUAUGGAAAAAGCAGCAGUCUGUGCUUUCUGCUCCCUUCUCAGAACAGAUAAAAGACUGCGAAGAGGAAAUGAAAGGAGAACAGUGAGAAAGAUCUGCUCCAAUCUCCAGAGCGCUCCUCCUUACAAGAAACGUGGUGUCGUGAGUCGGUUCUGAAACAGAAACAUCUUUGAGUUCCAUCCCGUUGUCACUUUCUGCCGAUAGACUGAUGGGGCAACACCCCCCAGCCCGUGCCAUGGCUUUGGUGCAGCAGCACUGCAGCGUGGAAGGGCCAAUGAUGGCUGCACACUGCCUGGCCUCAGCCCCACAUCCACUGUGCAGAGCUCCCAGCAAAGCCAUCCUGCUGCUGUCCCAGCACAGCCCUACAGCUGGGAUCCCCUUCCCACCACAUCCCUGGAGCUGAGCUGUGCCCAAAGCAGCCCGACAUCAACCCAAGGGACUGAAGCUUCUCUAUUAUUGUCAUUAUAUUUUAUUUUCUUAAAAGAGAGCAGGAAGAGGACAGAAUGUGUUUGCACAGUGGCACCACAGAGCCAUUGCCAGCUGUCUGGCUGGGAGCCAGCUCCUGUUACAGACUCACGCUCGUGUCUCUGCUCUACAUUUACCCAUAGAGAAUCAUAGAUACGAAACAGGACGGUCUAACACGAUGCUUUUAGCUCAGCCCCAUUGCCCUGUCUAAGACCUGGAGACAAAACAGUACAGCCUACUGGGACAGGACGUAUCAUUUAGAAACUAAGUGGGUGUUCAGACAGUUGCGGUGCAAACACGUUGUAACUACACUGUGUAAGCUGUGCCUUGGGUCAAGGCAGAGGUUCCUGGGUUCCGAGCUGGCUCAGCAUCCUCUCGCUCCUACACCUGAGGUCUCUCCUUCCAGCAUCUGCCAUCCCUGCAGCACAGAGGCUCGAUGUGUAGUGGGGAUCACCUGCAUGGAGGGAGAAAUCACCAUCUAUGAGUUCCAGGGCACCUCGCUCCUGGCAUGGGGAUGCAACAGAGGGUGUUUGAUAGCGACCUCAGCUGAAAUCAAGGAGGGGAAAGGCUGCAGGGCUGCUGCUUACCCAUGGAGGGGAGUGGAGGCCCUUCGGCUCAAGAGGAGGGCUGCCCCACAUGCCAGGAGCUGCAGCAGCGAGGACACAGCCACCUGCCCAGCACCAUUCACAUGAACUUUGCCAUCCAGCUUUAAGCAGCUGCCCUUGGGGGUGGCGGGGCAGCACUCCUGGAAACAGGCAGCCUUCACCCCCCGGGCACAGACAGGCUUGGCAGCCUUGCAGGCUUUGCUGCAUCCUGCCACAUAAUUGAAGCCCGUCUUCUUCAUCUGGAAGGAGGAGAGAGAUUGACCUGCUGGUCCUGCCCAGCCUCUGGCAUUUGCAUUGAGGGGAUGCACGCAGACUCCAGCACAUCCCACCUGUCCUGUCCCAGCCGUACCUCGCAGAAAUCAUGCCCAACAAAGCAUCUAGCUGUGCUCUUCUUGCCUUUGAAACAUCCAUCCCCAUGGCAGGAGAAUGCUGCACAGAUUUUCCCCUGCAAGACAAGACCAGAGGAGACCUGUGCAGGUGUGGUGCAGGCAGCAGGAUGCCCAGGGCCAGAUCUGGACCUCAGGCAGCCCUUCCUCCCACAGUGCCCUCCCAAACCCCCCCUAUAUCUCAGCAUUUGGCAUCAUCUGUCUCCAGCUUUUCAUACUAAGAGAUAAGAGAGAGCUCCCAUCUGCCACUGCAGGAAACCUCACUGCAACACCACCACGAGUUUCAAACCUCCUUUUCCUUCCUCUCAGCAACGCUGUGCAGAGAUAAAGCUCCUUCCACCCCAUCACUUGGGUGCCCCAGCACCACCCCACCCCUUCUGUGGCUCGAGGAGGCUUUGUCCCACAGCUGCCUUGGGCUGCUUGGAGCAUUGCAGACGGUGUGCUUAGCACCCUUACAUCUUGCAAAGCUCAUUAAGGAUUUGUUCCCCUUUCGAGGCAGCUUUCGCACAAAGAUCACAUCGGGUACCUACAUUUCGUGGGGGGGGGCGUGGGGUGGUGGUGGUGGUGAUGGUGGUCGUGGGCAGCACGGUGGUGGGGGGAAGAUCACCUGUGGGCACAGAGGAGCCCUGAGGACACAGCCCAUGUGCAGCCUUCAUGUCCACACGCUGGGGCAGAGGAACCACAGCGAUGCAGCCCAGCACGAUGGAUCCGCACACCCAUUUCUGUUGCAUGCAGCGGGAUAAACCAUGGAGCAGUUACCAUAGGAGCUUGCAUUGAGCUGCAGGCAGAGGGAGGUGUUGCAGCAUUCCAUGGUGCACUGCUGUAGGGUCACGCUGCCAUUGGUCCUGCACAGCUCUGCACUGCACACACUGCUGCAUCUGGCGGUGUAGUUCAUGCUGGAGAAACGAUAAAGCUGCAACAGCAGAGCCAAAGGAAAAAAAAGAAACCCACUAGAAGUGCGAAGAGAGGCCAUUACAGAAGAGCAAAAAUAAUGGACAGAGUGGGAGAGUGGCGAAGGAAAAUCAGGUGUUGUGCUCACAGCCUCCAGCAGCCGCUCUAAGCUCCAUACCUCGCAGAAGGUCUCAUUGUAGCAGGUGGUCGUCAUGUUGCUGUGGGCCUCAUCCUGGUAACACCUCUCCCCGGAGCACUGGAAGCUUUGACAGCUGAGCUGGGGGGAGGACAUGCCAGGGGGUCACAGCGCAGCAGAGCUUCUGCAUGGCCAGCAUCCCCCUUCCCUCUCCUUACCGGGGUUUGUUCUGUAUGGUUCAUGGAGGCGUUGGCAGCCACUGAAGCCUGGCUGAUGGACACCCAAGUGGUGGUGGCGGUCACUGAGGUGUGGUUGGAGGCAGCCAUUGAGGCACUGGCGGUAGCCACUGAGGUCUGGUUGGUGGCCACCCAUGCCUGAUUGGAGGUGGCUACUGAGGCACUGGUGGCAGACACUGAGGCCUGAUUGGUGGCUACUGAUGCCUGGUUGGAGGUGGUCACUGAGGUCUGACUGGUGGCCACUGAGGUCUGGUUGGUGGCCAUGGAUGCCUGGUUGGUUGUGGACAUUGAGGCACUGGUGGCAGCCACCGAGGCAUGGGUGGUGACUAUGGACAUGUUGACCACUUUGCGCCCUAAAAAAAACACAAAGUUCCCCCUUGGUGAAGGAAAUAGCAUCCAUGUGGUCCCCCAUCCCAAACAAGAACAAAGAUCUGCUUGCAGCCAGCAGGGAGGAGCCUGCCCAGCGGGUCAGAGAUAAUCGCUGACUAUGGAAACGUUACAGCAGCUUCUCCCUUCCCCUUCGAGGCACAUUGCAUAGGAGAUACAGCCAUUUCUGGGGUCAAAACCUCAAGAAGAUUUCCUGAGCACAGCUCUGUCCAAUAGCUUACAGCCAAGAGGGGACAGGGAUGUUGUCCCAUCACACCAAGUUGCCUUUGCCCCAUUCCCAAGAGGAUCCUCUGCUGUGCACUCACCUGCUAUGGCAAGAGGGCCCUGGGUGCAGAAUUGCAGAGCCAAGACACAGAGCAGCAGGCCUGAAACAGAGCAGAGACAACUGGGACCAUCAGAGGCCAAGUUCAGCCCUGGCAGUCUCCCUGGGAGAGCAGGGAUCCGUGCAGGCUGUGGGGUAGCAGCUCUGGGAUGGACACUGCUCAGAGCCCCCAUUACCUGGAGUAGGGAAGAGCUGCCGGUGAGCUGCCAUCACCCCCACCAGCAACCUCAGCUGGGACCUGGCAGAGAGAUGCAAUCAGAACUGGGCAAUCAGAACCAGCUCAUCACCCAGAAGUUAUCCUUGUCUGGCAUCAGAGACCAAGAGGCAGGCUCUUCCAGUCUCGGUUGCAGCAGGAGAAGGCUGAACAAGCACUGAGGGAUCCAGGGAGCACUUCUCCCUGUGGGCUCAGACCCAGGGCUCAGCCCAGCCCUGCCAAACAGGAGCCCCCUGGGAGGCCAUGUGCUGCUGUUGGUGUGGUAACUCUCCACCCCUGUGUAACACAGAGCCGUGAACAGCACCAGCUUGGCACCACACACAGCAAACUGCUGAUGCUGUUGUAAAUGAAGAAGCUGCCCCAGCUCAGGAUGGUGCCACACACAUCCCCGUUGCAUGGAAUUCUGAAUCCAGUUGUCUGCAUUGCCUCCCAACACCGACCCCUUGCACUGCUCACACCACACGUGGGGAAGUUCCACCUCCUUUGGUGUUUCCUGAGAUACACUGCUCUCCAUUGAAUGAAAGCAGACAUCUUCCUUGCAAAAUCUUUGCCAGUUUAAAUAAGGAAGCAGCAGAGAUGACUCCAAACAUGCUCCAAGGCUGCUUUCCAAAUACCCCCCCUUCUGCCUUAGGAUUUAAGCUCAGAUAGCAUUCCCAGGGCACUCUUUCAGAAUGACAGAAAACAAUACAGGCUGGAGUUUCUCACCUCACAGAGCAGGGCAGCCCCCCAACCCAGGCCAGGUUAGGACAGCCCUUACUGAGGCUGGUACAGCUCCAGCACAGCCAGACCCACCUCCAGGACAGGCUAAGAACAAACCAGAAAAGGCUCACCCUGAAACAAGCUUCUCAACCCCAAGCAGGGAAAGGAAUCUGCUCACAGACUCACCCUCUGUGUCCGUGCCCUGAAAGCCCCUGCACACCAGAGGAAGCCUGCAGCUGCUGCAAGAGAUGGAGAGCCUCUGAGCACCGAGCAGCUACAGCACCUGCAGCACCUGCAGCACAGCACAUGCCCUGGUGGCAGUGAGCAGCCCCACCCUGCCAACCACCAGCUGCGCAAACCGUCACCCAGGGAGAAGGGUUUGUUACCUGCAGCCCUGCUGGAUUUGGAGAUGCAAAUGUCCAUGCGCAGUGACAACUGAGAAAAGGAUUUUCAAGGCAAGAGAUGUCGCGCCAGCACGUCUAUGCCAAAAUGAAAGCCCACUGUAGGCAGUGUGAGGGCUGCCAUAAACCCCAAUGCCUCUGCCCAGUGCCUCUUUUCUCCUCACAGGACUUUAAUUCGUGUGGUAGUAUCACAGUUCAAGAGAACCAAAGGAAGGAUCUGUGCUAGCAUCUACCAGGCCUUCAAGUCAAUGCCAGUGCUGGACAAACUAACACAAACUACCCACAUGGCAGCCCAUCCUAAACAAAGCUCAUUUAUUUGUUCCCUGAAAAAAAUCCCAGUAGCCAAAGCCUCACAGGAAGCCAAAGCAGCAGUGCAAGCCAAAUAUCUGCUCUGCAAAGGGGCACAAAGAAAGACAUUAAACUAUGACAUAGUACAAGACCAUUAUGCAUUGGCAGCAUGCAAUGCUGAUGUAUGUGCUUUAAAGAAGGCAGUCCUCAUCAUAAAAACUUCCAUCAGCACUGGAAUAAGAGAGAAGUAAUUGUUUCUAACAAUUCAAACUGUGUAGAAAGUGUUUGAAUAAUACCAUCAUCAAAUCUCCUCCUUCCAGCAUACAAAAGGAGACACAUUUUCAGCAUUUCCUAAGUUAAAAUCAAUUUAUUUUUAAGGUGUUUUUUUUUUUUUAAUAUAAAAUAACAUCACAAGACUGCUUUUCACAAAGGGCUUACUAGAAAGCGAUUCUAUAAAGUAUCCUAUGCUCAUGCAAAUAGAAAAAUCCAUAAACUGAAGAAGAACUGGAGCUGGUGACACUUCUCCUUUCUUUUUUCUGAUGUGAAAUCCUUCACCUGGGAAAAGUUACAGCAGCCCUUGACGUUUCAAGUCUUCGUAGGUCUUUUUAUUCACCACAUUCCCACUGGAGUCCUCAUAUUCCUCCUCUGUAUCAGGCUGCCACCUCUCUGAAGCCUUCUGCAGUUUCAGCUUUGCCCACAGUGAGACAGCAUCCUCAAUCUGUGUGACAUUGGCAAAAUGUGCAGUGUUGGGAAUGCCCAGGCAUCUCAUUCCAUGAGCAUGACGCCACUCUGCAAAAUGGCGUUGAAAAGCUUUGGGCCCUCGGUAGGUGUAGUUACCACAAAUCUCACAGUUGUAGUUGAUGUUUAAACCAUGUAGUUUAUAUAACCAGUAUGGGAUUGGCUUGCCAUCCCAACCAAGGGGCAGAUUUUUAGGAUUAUAAAUGAUUUCAUUUUCUUCAUCUUCACUCUCACUCUCACUGAUCUGCUCUUCUUCCUCCUCCUCCCUCUCUUCCCCUGUCCGUGCUUGCUUACGUUGCACAUUCUCAUGAGUAAGGUGUCUCUGUUCCCCAAGAACUUCUACAUAUUCA
This 7215-nucleotide long non-coding RNA is filed under the name Gallus gallus (chicken). The record is from RNAcentral. Lineage: Eukaryota; Metazoa; Chordata; Aves; Galliformes; Phasianidae.